This 790-nucleotide ribosomal RNA is filed under the name uncultured Staphylococcus sp. RNAcentral describes it as "bacterial SSU rRNA". It matches the Rfam family "Bacterial small subunit ribosomal RNA", at positions 129 to 905 of the family's 1533-position model. Lineage: Bacteria; Bacillati; Bacillota; Bacilli; Caryophanales; Staphylococcaceae. The record is from RNAcentral.
CCUAUAAGACUGGGAUAACUUCGGGAAACCGGAGCUAAUACCGGAUAAUAUUUCGAACCGCAUGGUUCGAUAGUGAAAGAUGGCUUUGCUAUCACUUAUAGAUGGACCUGCGCCGUAUUAGCUAGUUGGUAAGGUAACGGCUUACCAAGGCAACGAUACGUAGCCGACCUGAGAGGGUGAUCGGCCACACUGGAACUGAGACACGGUCCAGACUCCUACGGGAGGCAGCAGUAGGGAAUCUUCCGCAAUGGGCGAAAGCCUGACGGAGCAACGCCGCGUGAGUGAUGAAGGUCUUCGGAUCGUAAAACUCUGUUAUUAGGGAAGAACAAACGUGUAAGUAACUGUGCACGUCUUGACGGUACCUAAUCAGAAAGCCACGGCUAACUACGUGCCAGCAGCCGCGGUAAUACGUAGGUGGCAAGCGUUAUCCGGAAUUAUUGGGCGUAAAGCGCGCGUAGGCGGUUUUUUAAGUCUGAUGUGAAAGCCCACGGCUCAACCGUGGAGGGUCAUUGGAAACUGGAAAACUUGAGUGCAGAAGAGGAAAGUGGAAUUCCAUGUGUAGCGGUGAAAUGCGCAGAGAUAUGGAGGAACACCAGUGGCGAAGGCGACUUUCUGGUCUGUAACUGACGCUGAUGUGCGAAAGCGUGGGGAUCAAACAGGAUUAGAUACCCUGGUAGUCCACGCCGUAAACGAUGAGUGCUAAGUGUUAGGGGGUUUCCGCCCCUUAGUGCUGCAGCUAACGCAUUAAGCACUCCGCCUGGGGAGUACGACCGCAAGGUUGAAACUCAAA